This 480-nucleotide ribosomal RNA is filed under the name Triticum aestivum (bread wheat). RNAcentral describes it as "partial small subunit ribosomal RNA". The record is from RNAcentral. Lineage: Eukaryota; Viridiplantae; Streptophyta; Magnoliopsida; Poales; Poaceae.
AAGGGAUUUAGUGCAUAUCAAAAAAUCUCCGCAGCUAUGCGGGUGAUUGCAUAUGGCGUUCCGGCUGACUAUGCCGAUAAGUACCUUCGCAUUAAUGAAGAUACUACAAUUGAGUCAGUGCGUAGAUUUGCAAAAGUGAUCAUCCAUGUCUUUGGUCCUGAGUAUCUUCGGGCACCCAACAAGGAUGACACAAAGAAAUUGAUGGCAUCUAAUGAGAGGAGAGGUUGGCCUGGCAUGCUAGGUAGCAUUGAUUGUAUGCAUUGGACUUGGAAAAAUUGCCCAAAGGCAUGGCAACGGAUGUAUUGUGGCAAGUCUCGUGAUGCAACAAUUGUGCUAGAGGCCGUAGCAUCCGAGGAUUUAUGGAUUUGGCAUUGCUUCUUUGGUAUGCCGGGCACUCUCAAUGAUAUCAAUGUGUUGCAACGGUCUCAUUUGUUUGCUAGGCUUGCUAGUGGUGAUGCUCCUGCUUGCAACUACACUAUC